This 433-nucleotide ribosomal RNA is filed under the name uncultured bacterium. RNAcentral's name for it is "partial 16S ribosomal RNA". It matches the Rfam family "Bacterial small subunit ribosomal RNA", at positions 29 to 507 of the family's 1533-position model. The record is from RNAcentral.
AACGAACGCUGGCGGCAUGCCUAACACAUGCAAGUCGAACGAGACCUUCGGGUCUAGUGGCGCACGGGUGCGUAGCGCGGGGGAAGCUGCCCUUAGGUUCGGAAUACCACCCCGACGGGGGUGCUAAUGCAGGAUAAUGUCUUCGGACACAAGAUUGAUCGUGCUUGGAUGGGCCGGCGUUGGAUUAGCUAGUUGCGAGUGUAAAAGCCUAUCACGGCGACGAUCCAUAGCUGGUCUGAGAGGAUGAUCAGCCACACUGGGACUGAGACGCGGCCCAGACUCUUACGCGAGGCAGGAGUGGGUAAUAUUGGACAACGGGCGAAAGGCUGAUCGAGCUAGGCCGGGUGAGUGAUGAAGGUCUUAGGGUUGUAAAGCUCUUUUACCCGGGAUGAUAAUGACAGUACCGGGAGAAUAAGCACCGGCUAACUCCGUG